Molecule: ribosomal RNA, 253 nt
Filed under: uncultured bacterium
Lineage: Bacteria
Description: partial 16S ribosomal RNA
Rfam family: Bacterial small subunit ribosomal RNA
Source: RNAcentral
UACGUAGGGCGCGAGCGUUAAUCGGAAUUACUGGGCGUAAAGAGUGCGUAGGCGGUUCUUGAAGUCCGCUGUGAAAGCCCCGGGCUUAACCUGGGAAUGGCAGUGGAAACUGGAGGACUUGAAUUGAGCAGAGGGGGGUGGAAUGCCGCGUGUAGCAGUGAAAUGCGUAGAGAUGCGGCGGAACACCGAUGGCGAAGGCAGCCCCCUGGGCUUAAAUUGACGCUGAGGCACGAAAGCGUGGGGAGCAAACAGG